UUCAGAGUCCUGACAACCACAGCGCUCUGUUUAUUCAAAAACAAUUAUAUAUUGGGAAGUGGCACUGAAAAUUUCCCCAUAUUGCCCCAACAAUAUGCUUCAUUCCUAACCUGGAGGGAAAGCCCAGUCUCCAUGCCCAUUCAUUACUUGGCGUCU
RNAcentral lists this small RNA (156 nucleotides) under Gopherus agassizii (Agassiz's desert tortoise). Its description in RNAcentral is "TUC338 (ENSGAGG00000016096.1)". Lineage: Eukaryota; Metazoa; Chordata; Testudines; Testudinidae. The record is from RNAcentral.